This is a non-coding RNA of Desmophyllum pertusum, 74 nucleotides long. Lineage: Eukaryota; Metazoa; Cnidaria; Anthozoa; Scleractinia; Caryophylliidae. The record is from the annotation of a GenBank genome assembly.
UCUCCUGUAGCUCAGUGCUAUAGAGCGUCCGUCCGGUGUGCGGAAGGUCAUGGAUUCAAUUACUUUUGGAAAAA